RNAcentral lists this non-coding RNA (694 nucleotides) under Haemonchus contortus (barber pole worm). The record is from RNAcentral. Lineage: Eukaryota; Metazoa; Nematoda; Chromadorea; Rhabditida; Trichostrongylidae.
UAACUUAAAGAAUUAAAAUUUAAUUGUGGUUAAAAAAAUGAUAAAAUAAUAUUAUUUAAUUUUAAUUUAUUUAGUGGGCAAUAAAAAUUUACCCCGGUAAUAUAUUGUUUGUAAAAUGUUUGUUCCAGAAUAAUCGGCUAGACUUGCAUAAUUUUAACUUUAUUUUGUUUAAAUURUAAAAAUUAUGGNUUUUWAAAAAAAWUAAAAAUUUAUAGGUAAAAUUUUAAAUUUUUAAAAUUAAAGUUUAUAAUUUAAAAGUUUAAAUAAUAAAUUAGAUUAGUACCUAAGUAAUUAAAUUUUAUUAAAGCAGAAGUAAAGUAAAGURUAAACUGUAAAAAUUUUGGCAGAUURUUUAAAUUAUCUUUGGAGGUUGAGUAAUAAGUGAGAACCCUCAUUAACUACUAUUAUUAAAGGCUUAUGUAUGAUCGUUUAUUGUGUGUUUAAGACAUAUAAUAAAAUUUUAAAUAUAAUAUAAAAAUAGAUAUAUAUUUAGUGUAUAUAAAAGUUUAAUUUGACCUACAUUAUAAAAAAAUGUGGAUAAUAAAUGUGAAUUUAUUGUGAAAAUGUAAAAGACAGUAAAAAAAAUUUAAUGUUUUUUUGAAGAGUAUUUAAAAAUGGUUCAAAUCAUCCAUCAAUUGCCUAAAGGGGAGUAAGUUGUAGUAAAGUAAAUUUAGGGGAACCUGAAUUUAAUAAU